AGCAGUGGGGCCUAGUGGAAAGAGCAUUGGCCUGGGAGGCAGAGGACCUGGGUUCUAAUCCCAACUCUGCCA
Ornithorhynchus anatinus (platypus) is the source of this 72-nucleotide non-coding RNA. The record is from Rfam. Lineage: Eukaryota; Metazoa; Chordata; Mammalia; Monotremata; Ornithorhynchidae.